Molecule: small nuclear RNA, 132 nt
Filed under: Fukomys damarensis (Damara mole-rat)
Lineage: Eukaryota; Metazoa; Chordata; Mammalia; Rodentia; Bathyergidae
Description: U2 spliceosomal RNA
Rfam family: U2 spliceosomal RNA
About the family: U2 is a small nuclear RNA (snRNA) component of the spliceosome (involved in pre-mRNA splicing). Complementary binding between U2 snRNA (in an area lying towards the 5' end but 3' to hairpin I) and the branchpoint sequence (BPS) of the intron results the bulging out of an unpaired adenosine, on the BPS, which initiates a nucleophilic attack at the intronic 5' splice site, thus starting the first of two transesterification reactions that mediate splicing.
Source: Rfam by way of RNAcentral
ACUGCUUCUUGGCCUUUUGGCUAAGAUCAAGUGUAGUAACAUUCACUGGAUCUGUUCUUACAGAUAUGAAAUUUGGUUUAUUUUAUAAGGCCCAUUUACAUUCACACUGCCUUUGACAUGGGGUUGAUUUUA